Molecule: ribosomal RNA, 508 nt
Filed under: uncultured Alteromonas sp.
Lineage: Bacteria; Pseudomonadati; Pseudomonadota; Gammaproteobacteria; Alteromonadales; Alteromonadaceae
Description: bacterial SSU rRNA
Rfam family: Bacterial small subunit ribosomal RNA
Source: RNAcentral
CACGGGGGGCCUACGGGAGGCAGCAGUGGGGAAUAUUGCACAAUGGGGGAAACCCUGAUGCAGCCAUGCCGCGUGUGUGAAGAAGGCCUUCGGGUUGUAAAGCACUUUCAGUUGUGAGGAAAGGUUAGUAGUUAAUACCUGCUAGCUGUGACGUUAACAACAGAAGAAGCACCGGCUAACUCCGUGCCAGCAGCCGCGGUAAUACGGAGGGUGCGAGCGUUAAUCGGAAUUACUGGGCGUAAAGCGCACGCAGGUGGUUUGUUAAGCUAGAUGUGAAAGCCCAGGGCUCAACCUUGGAAUAGCAUUUAGAACUGGCAGGCUAGAGUCUUGGAGAGGGGAGUGGAAUUCCAGGUGUAGCGGUGAAAUGCGUAGAGAUCUGGAGGAACAUCAGUGGCGAAGGCGACUCCCUGGCCAAAGACUGACACUCAUGUGCGAAAGUGUGGGUAGCGAACAGGAUUAGAUACCCUGGUAGUCCACACCGUAAACGCUGUCUACUAGCUGUUUGUGA